ACUCAAAUGAAUUGACGGGGGCUCGCACAAGCGGUGGAUCAUGGGGCUUAAUUCGUCGGUAAGCGAGGAACCUUACCAAGGCUAGAAACCAUACUGCACGCUCCGUGAAAGCGGAGAAGCCUUAGAGGGUGUAUGGCAGGUGAUGCAUGGCCGUCGUCAGUUCGUGGCUUGAGCUGUUCCCUUAAGUGGGGAAACGAACGCAACCCUCGUUGCCUGUUACAAGUGUCAGGCGAGACUGCUCCCUCACGGGAGAGGAAGGUGAGGAUGACGCCAGGUCAGCAUGUCCCUAGAUGCCUUGGGCUGCACCCGUGAUACAAUGGGCGGUACAACGAGACGCAAUGUCGUAAGACGGAGCAAAUCUUAAUAAAACCGCCCUCAAUUCGGAUUGAGGUCUGCAACUCGACCUCAUGAAGACGGAAUCGCUAGUAAUCGUGGAUCAGCAUCGCCACGGUGAAUACGUUCCCGAGCCUUGUACACACCGCCCGU
Molecule: ribosomal RNA, 486 nt
Filed under: uncultured bacterium
Lineage: Bacteria
Description: partial 16S ribosomal RNA
Rfam family: Bacterial small subunit ribosomal RNA
Source: RNAcentral